AUGAACCCUAGCCGCCGCUCUCCUCUCCCGCGACCCCCAACCACCACCGCUCCUCCCUCCUCUGCCUCGUCUCCCAACCACCCAACCCAAACUCCGGCGGCCUCCUCUCCCUCUAGCGCCGCCGCUCCACCCUCACCUUCCUUCCUCUCCAAAGGAAGGGAAGGGAAGGGAAGGGAUGGGAUGGGGAGGGGAGGGGAGGCCCCAGAUCGAGCGGAGCAACGCCCAGAUCCGCAGCGGCACCGGCACCAGCGCGUCGUCGCGCCGUCGUCCACCUGGUCCUCGAGGAAGGCCAUGGAUGGGGGCGGAACCCUAGCCGGCGACUCCUUUUCGUGGCCGCCAAAUCCUUGCCUGGAGCUGCACCGUCAUCCAUCUCUCUACAUGUUUCUAGAUUCGCUGUCGCUGCGCGCUGUGCUUCUGGAUCACGUGCAAGUCAUUGUCAUUGGAGAGCAGGGGUGGCUUGGUAUUUAUGGUGGGCAUGGAGCAGAGGAGGAUGAGAGGGGUGGCCAUGAGACCUGA
RNAcentral lists this ribosomal RNA (516 nucleotides) under Triticum aestivum (bread wheat). RNAcentral's name for it is "partial small subunit ribosomal RNA". The record is from RNAcentral. Lineage: Eukaryota; Viridiplantae; Streptophyta; Magnoliopsida; Poales; Poaceae.